CCCCCCCCCCCCCACUUAUCGAGCUGGCUACGCCACUGCCCUAAGCCUAUAGGUCUCGUUUUCCCACACAUUAUAUCCAGGCAUUAUGCUAUGUUUGUAGUGAUAACUAAGGCUUUUCAAAAGGCAGUUGAAAUUUUUAAUAACCGAAAACCUGUAGACGCUCAGAAAUGCCAAGAUUGUAUGUGAUAAACCUUUUUUUCUUAUUAUGAAAUGUCACUCGCCCCAGGUUUCGAAGUGAAGCAGCGCAAAUUAUUAAGUACGGCUCAUGUAUGAAAAGCACGCCUGUCUAAAUCAAAAUUGGAAGUACGCAUAUUUUACUCGAGUAAAAUAUGAAUUAAGUUCGGCUCAUGAAAAGCACGGCGUCUAAACCGGGC
This is a non-coding RNA of Paramuricea clavata, 374 nucleotides long. The record is from the annotation of a GenBank genome assembly. NCBI's taxonomy places the organism in Eukaryota, Metazoa, Cnidaria, Anthozoa, Malacalcyonacea, Plexauridae.